CUCUCUCUCUCUCUCUCUCUCUCUGUGAACUGUGCUUGUGUCUGCAACUGCACUCUUGGAUGAUGGUUCUGCGAAAUCUUAAAGAAGAAAACAAGUGAAAGCUAUAAAAAAAAAUCCCAAACUUAUAUCCACAAUUGGAACGCCCACUAAAGAGAAGGAAAAGAAAAGAAAAAAAGGGGAAAGAUAACAUUUUCCACUUUCCAGAACCAUGGUAUUAAACAACGAGAUAAAGGAAAGCCCUUUAGAUCUUUCUUUUCUUCCCCUCCUCCCAGAUCUCUCACCUUCACAAGACCCUUCAAUAUAUAGAAAACUGAGUUGGGGUUUUUGAGAUGGGUAGCUCUGAUGACCCCAACAACAACUCCAAGGUUAUUGAUGCGUCGGUGGGCGGGUUAGUUUGGGUCCGGCGUCGAAACGGUUCAUGGUGGCCAGGCCGUAUUAUGGGUCUUGACGAAAUUUCGGAGGGUAGUUUGGUUUCGCCAAGAUCAGGCACUCCCGUCAAACUCCUCGGCCGAGAGGAUGCCAGUGUGGACUGGUAUAAUCUUGAAAAAUCUAAGAGGGUGAAAGCUUUUCGAUGUGGGGAAUAUGAUGAAUGUAUUGAGAAGGCCAAGGCAAAUGCAGCAAAUGGUAAUAAGAAAGCAGUGAAAUAUGCGCGGAGGGAAGAUGCCAUUCUUCAUGCCCUUGAAAUUGAGAAUGCUCGCCUGGGGAAGGAC
RNAcentral lists this unclassified non-coding RNA (710 nucleotides) under Hevea brasiliensis (rubber tree). Lineage: Eukaryota; Viridiplantae; Streptophyta; Magnoliopsida; Malpighiales; Euphorbiaceae. The record is from RNAcentral.